Molecule: non-coding RNA, 45 nt
Organism: Schistosoma mansoni
Lineage: Eukaryota; Metazoa; Platyhelminthes; Trematoda; Strigeidida; Schistosomatidae
Source: Rfam
AUCCAGCUGACGAGUCGUAAGUAGGAUGAAACGUGCGUCUUGGAU